Molecule: long non-coding RNA, 618 nt
Filed under: Polistes fuscatus (common paper wasp)
Lineage: Eukaryota; Metazoa; Arthropoda; Insecta; Hymenoptera; Vespidae
Description: uncharacterized LOC122524783
Source: RNAcentral
GUAUCGUACAUUUGGUCGAUAACCAGCAUUAUCAGCAACGUAAUCAACUAUUUGUGUUCUACCAUCGGGAAGAAGAACGUGAUAUGUACCAGUUGCUUCCUGAUCCUUUCGAUUUUCACGAUGACCAAAAUCUAAACCAGCAACAGCAUCCUGCACUUCGUGUACCAGGAGGACGAGACACGCUGGGAGGAAGAUAAGAAGGUCCUUGAGGUUCACCUCGAAUUCCUAUCAGCAUCAUUGCUAAUAAUAAUACCUAUGAAACAAGGAACAAUUUCAGAAACGUACACACACGAUUAAAUUGACUAAAUUAUUCGCCGAAAAAAGGCACAAUUUAAAAACAACAAAAAAAUGUUUAACACACCGACGUAAGGAAUUGUUUUUUUUUUAUUCGUAAUAAUAUCUACACAAACCUUUCGAAUCAUUGGCAGAUCGUCCUAAUCCUCUAGUGUUCAAAACUAAAAUAACUCGACGUUACAGCAUCGCCGGGUUUUAUACACCACGUUCCUGAUUGCAUCUUUUAAAAGUAGAAAUGGAAGCACGGUUAUUGUGGAAGCUUUAAUGCGAGCGCAUAACCGUAAUUAUAGUUAAUAAUAAAACCGCAGAUUUCUGACCGCAUAG